ACGAGGACUAGUUUACCCAGGGCCACGGCACGAUCAACAACUACCUCAUUCCUGUUUACCGGUUUUGUUAGAAGAAAGGUCUUUUAAAAAAGGAAUAAAUAUAUAUGUUGUAUGGGGACUGUUAUGUGACUAUGUGACGAGCAAGACGAGCCAUUAUUGACCUCGCCAUCAACACCCAAGAGACAAUCUUGCGACUGUUGCUUGAAAAUGGAAAUGCCAAGAACUUCCUGAACCUCUUAGGAAAUGGAAGUGUAGUUCAGAGGGUGCGCGUUUGUGAAGUACGGCUCCCACACGGAGGCCCAGGCCGCCAUUAACACCUUGCACGGGAGCCAGACAAUGCCGGUAAGUCGAACUGGUGCAUCUUCGAGUCUGGUGGUGAAGUUUGCUGAUACGGAGAAAGAAAGGCAGCUGCGACGCAUGCAACAAAUGGCCGGAAACAUGGGUCUCCUCAACCCUUUUGUCUUUAAUCAGUUUGGCGCCUAUGGGGCCUAUGCUCAAGUAAAUGUGUCAGAGCAGCAGUUCAUGCAGCAGCAGGCAGCGCUGAUGGCUGCUGCCUCACAGGGAACCUACAUCAAUCCAAUGGCAGCCCUUGCUACUCAGAUGCCCCAUGCUGCUGCACCCUUGGCCAAUGGAAUUACCAGCCCAGUCGUCCCGCCCACUUCCGCAUCUGUGCCACUGGUGUGGGACAUACAGAGUUCAAAAGUUGGUGCCAGUCAAGCUCAGCCCGUAAACGGCGCAUUGCCCUCCAUGCCUUCCCCUACGAUGCAGAAUUUCAAUAUAGCUCCUCAGCCAGGGCCAAAUAGCCAGCCAGGCGGGAGCGAGGGGGCUGUGUUUGCCAAUGGCCUCCCUCAAACCUUUGCUGCACCCCAGCCUAUCCCUAAUGGUGAAGCAGCCACACUGCAGCCUUCAGCAGCCUACCCAGGCAUGCCUUACUCCGGUGUUGCUGUGUAUCCUGCGCCCGUGUACGGCCAGUACGCCCAGGCGCCCUCGCCCCAGCUGGCGCCCAUACCCCACAACAAGGUUGAAGGUUUGUCGGUUGGUGUGUGUAUCCUUCACAUCUGCUCCAGAACUGGCUUGGAAGGCUGGGGGAGACCUGGAGCUCCUGCUCCCCCCCUACUAGAGGGGGGCUGUUCAAUCUCGGGACCUGAGGGCUGCAACCUUUUCAUCUACCACCUGCCGCAGGAGUUCGGUGAUGCUGAACUGAUGCAGAUGUUCCUUCCUUUUGGAAAUGUGAUCUCCUCCAAGGUGUUCAUUGACAGAGCUACUAACCAGAGCAAGUGUUUCGGUUUCGUAAGCUUCGACAACCCUGCCUCAGCACAGGCUGCUAUCCAGGCGAUGAAUGGCUUCCAGAUUGGCAUGAAGCGCCUAAAGGUUCAACUCAAGCGACCCAAGGAUGCUAAUAGACCCUACUAACGGCCGCACUCAGUAGGGAAGACCAGGAAUGGUGGCAUCUGUCUUCUUCUUCUUCUUGAUAAUACAUGCAGUUUGCUUGAAGGUUCUUCUCCUCUCGGUGACUGCACUAGUGGUUGUUGGGUGACGGGUCACAGUGGUGCAUCACUAUUGACAGUUAGAGGUAUCUGAUUGUGAAGCUGUUCUUGAAGAAGAUGGCUCUGUGUUUAUCAUAGCUUGAAUAUGACAUUUGUAUGAAGUAUUAGGAAUCCAAAGCCUAGGUUGUAAGUAAAAGUAGUGAAGAAAAUACUUGAAAAAUAUAACUUCCUCUGCAAGAUGAACAUUAUUCCCAUAUUUCUAUACUACAAGUGCUACAUAUACGAGUCCAGAGAGCUUGAGUUGCUACACAGGCUGCGGGAGGCCUCAGAGGUGGCAAGAGACGGUUACUAAAAAAAAAGAUAAUUUUUUUCAAGAGGUUGAAGGAAGUCCACAAUUGAGGCCUGUGCUACUGUGUACACAAACUGUAUAUAUGCUGUACCGAGUUAUUGCACGGUACCAAAAAAAAAAAAAAAAAGGAUUUGGGACUAAAGGUCCCUCUCCUCUCACAUGUUGAUAGCCAUGUUAUUACUGAGAGUAUGGAAACAAUAUUUUUAAUAUUAAUAAGCCUUCUGUUAAAGUUAUAUUACGUAUCAUAAUAUUUCAACUAUAUCAUAUUGUUAAGAAUAGUAGUAUACUUAAGACGUGCUCUAUCAGCUCUGCGCCAUUUUGUGCGAGUUGGCCGGGUGAUGUGGAUCUCCCAGCACCGGAUGUGUCCUAACCCGCCCCGCUGACGGGUUGCUCCUUCAGGGUACUAAGUGUUGCGUGUCUCGUGUCUGUUGCCUCACGCCCUGCGCUGUGCCCGGGCGCCCACGCAGCUGCCACCCCCUUGGCUGUCGUCUUAUGGCUCAGUAAAUGCCCAUGUUUUUACCUGGUAGUCUGUGGGUGUACUGUCCACAAGUGCUUAGCUUCAAACUGGGCCGCUGUAGCAGUGAUGCCACGUGCACUGGUGCUCCUCACGCCAUUUUGCGUGCCGUGUGGCCGGGCGGGGCACGACCCAACCUACCAGACCAGGGCGCUAAGGUCUCUUCCCAGCUCCACAGUUGGACAACCAAAGUGAUGGCCUCAAAGGGUUUAGAGGCCCCUAGUCUAGUGUCAAACUAGAGGAUUAGCUUCUCUAUACCUGUAGAUGCCUAUAGAUAUAUAGAUUAAAGCGCUAGAUAGCUUUCAAGUAUAGAGGAAGUCUCAUAAAGACACAGUGUAUAUAUGCUGAAGGUAACUUGGUAGGACUAUUGACCCUGCAUUUGAUCAUAUGUACAGUGGAUAGCAUAUUCACUAGACUAAGGGUACCAACGCUUAUCUCCAGUCAAUUUUAUAUCAUGAUAUAUUUUUAAAUCAUUUGUAUCCAAUGGUUUAAUAAGAUUUGUGCAUUUCUUUGUGGCUUAGAUUUUUAGACAUCUGUAUGUUUGUCAGAUCAAAGUGGCAUUAUUUUCUAGUCAAGGUGUACUUGUUAUUUUUUUAAAAAGAUUACAAUUUUUGCAGCGAUCUUUCAUCUAUGAUCUCAGACAUUCCAUCUAGUCAUUAUUAUUGUUUUAACCACCUUCUUGGGGAACAUAAUUCCCUUACCCCUCCCAUUUUUAAUAUACUGUAUGUCAUCCACAUAACUUUUGAACCAUUGACAGAAAUGUGCCAAGAGAGUUCAAGAUGAUUUCUCCAUUACCUGGUCUAUUUUAUUUGUUUCAUAUAUUUACAUGUUAUACACCCUUGUGGUUUAGGAGUAAGAAUUACUGAUUUCUGAAAGAAUGAAGCUGUUUCUCUGACAUAGCAUAUCUAGUCCAAUAUGUACAUACGCACCACAGUCACGCUGCAUUAUGUUAAGGCUGCUGUGUGGAAGAGACUGCAUUUAUUUGGAUGUUUACUAGACUGUCUGCUUUUGAUAGAUGGAUUGUAACUAACAGCAAAGUUCCAGUGCCAUAAAACUAAGACUGGGAUCAAGGAGUAUGUUCUAUAAACAUAGUAAGAAUAUGAUUUUCUUACUAUAAUAUAAUUAUCAUCAUCAGCAUGAUGAUAAUGACUGAAAUUCUGAAUACGAGUAUAGAUGAUUUAGAAGUACUGUAUGGUGUAAUAGGAAAAAACAAUCUUUCCCACAGCAGGCUAAUGUAAUCAGUCUGCGCCAUUGUAAUAUUACAUAGGCCCUAUUGCCUUGCUCAUGUUGGCAUCUUGUUUAAAAUUGAGAUUAGGAUUUGUGUCAUGCUUAAUGUAGCAUCUCAGAAUGUUUCAAAAGAAAAUUCUUUACAUUGUAAACAAGAUGACAAUAAAUGAGUACAACAGGGAUAUUAUUAAGGAUUGUAAGGAGAUAGCCACACCAAAGAAAUAAGAGAAAAAUACUUAAAGAAUAGUUUUAGUACAUCACGUUUAGAAACUGCGUAGCAUAUAAUUUAUUAUCAUUUAUUUAUUUAUUGCUUAUAAUUUAUUAAUACAAUUGCCUAAAAGAGAGUGUAAUCUACAAUGGUUAGUUUCAAGGCAGUAUGAAAUCUAGUCGUUUUGGGACCAAUUUAAGUGUCUUUUGGUCAAUUCGUGUAAUAUGGUGUCGUUCAGUAACGUGUUGUAUUCGUUUGAAACUUCCAAUCCAUUUUUGAGGUAUGUUUAUAAAGGCCUUGGACUAUCAUAAGAUACACUCUCUAGUAUAUUGCUAAUACUUAGCCCCUAUAAAUUUUAAGGAUAUUGGUAAAUGCCUGCAUAUUAUAGAGUAUUCAUUUUCAUAUUAAUGGAGGAUAUCAGGAGGCCUAUACCUGCUACUAUGAGUUGAUUUUUCAGCAAAAUGUCAGGCAUGUUGAUGAGAUAUAAUGGUAAAUUUUCUGGACAAGCAUCUCAAUGGCUCAGGAGCUGAGAAUACUUGUGCGUCAUAUAGAAAUUAUGAAUAUGUGUGGACUCGUUUCCACCAGAAUGGUAUAAAGUGUUUCCAGUGAAGACGGCUGGUGACCUUUGAUGAUGACUGCCUUUGGUGACUUGUAUAACAAGUGGUUAGCAGGGCCCCAGCAUAUCAGUGUUGCGUCUCCUUUGGCCUUGCCCGGUCCUUGACCCUGGUCCUGGCGGAACUGGCUGCCUGCACGGUCUCUCGUCUUGCGCCUUGCCUUCACUGACCCCACCCCGUGCCAGGAGCCGGCAGGCCCCUUUCUGCCGGCCACAUUGCCCCCGCCUGUCGGCCACGUCUGUCCCUUCUGCAUCGCUGCAGCCCACCUUUCCUCAUCACCCUUGCCGAUAGACGGACCUUAAAGUAGGAGGCCGUGACACAGGUUAUGGGAACGAGAGUGCGCUGCCCCAUGGUGUACACCAGGGCAGGAUGGGCGGACGGGGGCGAGGGCAAGGCUGGACCUGGCGCGCCGCUUGUGUCUAACACAGCGCCUGCCCCUGGCCUCCUCCAUGCCAUAUCUCACCACAAGUCGCGGGACUCACCCCUCCAGGGGACGCCGGGUCCUGUUAAGCUAUAUGGUUGUUCAUCAAGAUGGCAAGCUCUGUAAGCUUUUAUAUUGUAAUUUUCUAGACCCCAGAUUCUUCUCCUUCCAAGAGAAUUUAAUAGCAUGGUAAAAGUAGUUAACCAUUUGAAGUAGUUUGAUAGGAGCAUAAUUUAUAUCUGAUUUGCCAUAGUUAAGAGUAGAUGGCUUGAUCUGGCCUAAGGUGCCAUGGGAUAGCCAGUAUCCUUAAUUAUCCACAGACUCACGAGUCACUUAAACCUGGUGUGAGUUGUGCUGGACAAGCUUGUGUCCCACCACCAGCUCUACUCCAUUAUUGCCAAAACCAUAGCCAGGAGUUGCUGGCACAAAUGGCCUGGGCAAGAUUUCCAUCAAAUAUACCAGAUCAGCUAGGACAGGGCCUUGUGGUACACACUCCAGUUGAACUUUGGCAUUAAGCCCAGCAUUUGUGAGCUUUGUGUAUAAAAUUUGUAUGGAAAACUUUUUUAGAUUUGUAUGAAAAUUCAGUACAUAUUUGUGAUCUUUAAAUAACCUUGAGUUAAUAAACACUGUCAUGCUGGCUAUGCCUUUACAUGGCAACAUGUAGUUAAUUUUAAAUAUAUAUAUGUUAAAUAUUAAUUUCACAUAGCUUUAACGUAUAUGAAUUUUUAAAGCCAUACAUUUGCAACAAAUUGUAUAUUUUAUUAGGUAUUACAUUAUUUAAGUGUAACCUAUAUGACAGGGACAAUUGAACCUCCUUUUAAAUUGUUGCUAAGUGCACAAAUAUAUACAUUUGAUUGUUAAAAUGCACACAAUAUUUAAUUGAAAAUUUAACAUUUGAUUGUAUUUUACUCUCAAAUAAAUAAUACAUGAAAGAAUUGUAAAGUAUCACAAGUAGAGAGAAUUUAGGUUGUUCAAGAGGUUUAGAUACACCCUCAAUGGUCGAUUGUGAGUGUGUAGCACUCUUGCCCUUGUAAAAGUGAUACUUUGUAAUGAAAUAAAGAUCCAAUAUA
Non-coding RNA from Procambarus clarkii (red swamp crayfish), 5890 nucleotides. The record is from RefSeq and is a predicted model, not a curated record. Lineage: Eukaryota; Metazoa; Arthropoda; Malacostraca; Decapoda; Cambaridae.